AAAAUUAAAGGUCUAAUCUGCCCAAUGAUAUUUGAAUGGCCGCGGUAACUUGACCGUGCAAAGGUAGCAUAAUAAUUAGUCUUUUAAUUGAAGGCUUGAAUGAAAGAUUGGAUGAAAAAUAAACUUUAUUAAUAUAAAUUAUUUAAUUUAUUAUUUAAGUAAAAAUUCUUAAAUGUGUAAGUGGGACGAGAAGACCCUAUAGAGUUUUAUUUUUAUUUCUAUUAUUAAAUUAAAGAAUUAAUAUUUUUAUAAUAUAAAUGAAUUUUUUAUUGGGGUGAUAUUAAAAAUUUAUGAACUUUUAAUAAAUAUUUCAUUAAUAUAUGUAUAUUUGAUCCAAAAAAAAUUUUGAUUAUAAGAUUUAAUUACCUUAGGGAUAACAGCGUUAUUAAUUUGAAGAGUUCAAAUCGAUAAAUUAGUUUGCGACCUCGAUGUUGGAUUAAGAAUAAAUUUUGAAGUAGCAUUUAAAAUUAUAGGUCUGUUCGACCUUUAAAUUCUUACG
RNAcentral lists this ribosomal RNA (499 nucleotides) under Platypleura chalybaea. RNAcentral describes it as "partial 16S ribosomal RNA". The stretch from base 373 to 499 matches the Rfam family "Archaeal large subunit ribosomal RNA", at positions 2542 to 2669 of the family's 2987-position model. Lineage: Eukaryota; Metazoa; Arthropoda; Insecta; Hemiptera; Cicadidae. The record is from RNAcentral.